UACGAAGGGGGCUAGCGUUGCUCGGAAUGACUGGGCGUAAAGGGCUCGUAGGCGGACGGCUUAGUCGGGCGUGAAAGCCCUGGGCUUAACCUGGGGACUGCGUUUGAUACGGGUUGUCUUGAGUGGGGAAGAGGGUCGUGGAAUUCCCAGUGUAGAGGUGAAAUGCGUAGAUAUUGGGAAGAACACCGGUGGCGAAGGCGGCGACCUGGUCCUUGACUGACGCUGAGGCGCGAAAGCGUGGGGAGCAAACAGG
RNAcentral lists this ribosomal RNA (253 nucleotides) under uncultured bacterium. RNAcentral describes it as "partial 16S ribosomal RNA". It matches the Rfam family "Bacterial small subunit ribosomal RNA", at positions 524 to 776 of the family's 1533-position model. The record is from RNAcentral.